GAUGAACGCUGGCGGCGUGCUUAACACAUGCAAGUCGAACGGAAAGGCCCAAGCUUGCUUGGGUACUCGAGUGGCGAACGGGUGAGUAACACGUGGGUGAUCUGCCCUGCACUUCGGGAUAAGCCUGGGAAACUGGGUCUAAUACCGGAUAGGACGAUGGUUUGGAUGCCAUUGUGGAAAGUUUUUUCGGUGUGGGAUGAGCUCGCGGCCUACCAGCUUGUUGGUGGGGUAAUGGCCUACCAAGGCGUCGACGGGUAGCCGGCCUGUGAGGGUGUACGGCCACAUUGGGACUGAGAUACGGCCCAGACUCCUACGGGGGGCAGCAGUGGGGAAUAUUGUACAAUGGGCGCAAGCCUGAUGCAGCGACGCCGCGUGGGGGAUGACGGCCUUCGGGUUGUAAACUCCUUUCGCUAGGGACGAAGCGUUUUUGUGACGGUACCUGGAGAAGAAGCACCGGCUAACUACGUG
RNAcentral lists this ribosomal RNA (468 nucleotides) under uncultured bacterium. Its description in RNAcentral is "partial 16S ribosomal RNA". It matches the Rfam family "Bacterial small subunit ribosomal RNA", at positions 28 to 507 of the family's 1533-position model. The record is from RNAcentral.